This 1129-nucleotide ribosomal RNA is filed under the name Rotylenchulus reniformis. RNAcentral's name for it is "eukaryotic LSU rRNA". It matches the Rfam family "Eukaryotic large subunit ribosomal RNA", at positions 1 to 966 of the family's 3401-position model. Lineage: Eukaryota; Metazoa; Nematoda; Chromadorea; Rhabditida; Hoplolaimidae. The record is from RNAcentral.
ACCUGAACUCAGACGUGAAUACCCGCUGAACUUAAGCAUAUCAGUAAGCGGAGGAAAAGAAACUAAAAAGGAUUCCCGUAGUAACGGCGAGUGAACUGGGAAGAUGUCCAGCGCUGAAUCGUGGCGCCUCUGGUGCCGUGAGGUGUAGCGUACAGACCGUGAGUGUGGGUUGGCUCGCCCGUUCAAGUUUCCCUUGACCGGGGCUCCAGAGAAGGUGCAAGGCCUGUCCAACGGGUGGCUGUCAGCUCAUCUUCGCGUGUCUUUGAGUCGGGUUGUUUGGGAUCGCAGCCCAAAGCAGGUGGUAAACUUCAUCUAAGACUGAAUAUGACCACGAGUCCGAUAGCGAACAAGUACUGUGAAGGAAAGUUGCAAAGCACUUUGAAGAGAGAGUUAAAAAGGACGUGAAACCGAUGAGGUGGAAACGGACAGAGCCGGCGUAUCUGGCCUGUAUUCAGCUAUGGGCCUCUGGCGCUGGGCAGUCGCUCUCCAUAUUGGGACGACUGUCUGGCUGCUCGGGUGUCUGUGGUGCAUUUGCAGGUGGAGUGCGCUGAGACGGUCGGGGCAGCGGCAUGAGCUCGGCUCUGAGGCCAGCCCUUCGGGGUCUGGUACCCGAACAGGGGGAGUGCUGUUUGGCCUGGCCGGCAGCGGGAAUGGUUUCGGGCUCGAUUGGGUGCCGAGCUGGCAGUCGGUGGCGGUCGCAUGCGACACGUGCCAGCGGUCAGUUCGGUCCUGGUCGAGCUCUCAAAGCUCCAUCCUCGGUGUAAAAGCUGGUCAUCUGUCCGACCCGUCUUGAAACACGGACCAAGGAGUUUAGCGUGUGCGCGAGUCAUUGGGCGGUGAAAACCCAAAGGCGCAAUGAAAGUGAAGGUCUCCCUUGCGGAGUUGAUGUGUGACCCGGGUCAUCGCGGUGGCCCGGAGCAACAUAGUCCCGUCCCGACCGCAUGCGGUGGGGCGGAGACUGAGCGUGCGCGCUGAGACCCGAAAGAUGGUGAACUAUUCCUGAGCGGGACGAAGCCAGAGGAAACUCUGGUGGAAGUCCGAAGCGAUUCUGACGUGCAAAUCGAUCGUCUGACCUGGGUAUAGGGGCGAAAGACUAAUCGAACCAUCUAGUAGCUGGUUCCUUCCAAGA